GUUUUUAUAGUGUAUUCAACAUAUUGUCCUUUCAAGACAAAGAUAAAUGAUUUUAAAAACA
RNAcentral lists this transfer RNA (61 nucleotides) under Grandidierella fasciata. RNAcentral's name for it is "tRNA-Glu". Lineage: Eukaryota; Metazoa; Arthropoda; Malacostraca; Amphipoda; Corophiidae. The record is from RNAcentral.